Molecule: ribosomal RNA, 465 nt
Filed under: uncultured bacterium
Lineage: Bacteria
Description: partial 16S ribosomal RNA
Rfam family: Bacterial small subunit ribosomal RNA
Source: RNAcentral
CCUACGGGAGGCAGCAGUAGGGAAUCUUGCUCAAUGGGCGAAAGCCUGAAGCAGCAACGCCGCGUGGAGGAUGAAGGUCUUCGGAUUGUAAAACCCUGUUGUUAGAGAAGUAAAUGCGGGCAAGUAACCGUUCACGUUUGGACGGUAUCUAUCCAGAAAGCCACGCCUAACUACGUGCCAGCAGCUGCGGUAAUAUGUAGGUGGCUAGCGUUAUCCGGAUUUAUUGGGCGUAAAGGUAACGUAGACGGUCUGUUAAGUCUGAUGUGAAAGCCUUCGGCUUAACCGUAGAAGUGCAUUUGAAACUGGGAGUCUUGAGUACAGAAGAGGUAGGUGGAAGUCGAGGUGUAGCGGUGAAAUGCGUAGAUAUCAAGAAGAACACUGAUGGCGAAGGCGGCUUUCUAGACUGUAACUGACGCUGAUGCUCGAAAGCGUGGGUAGCAAACAGGAUUAGAUACCCGAGUAGUC